CGGUUAAGUGAAUAAGGGCGUACGGUGAAUGCCUUGGCACUAGGAGCCGAUGAAGGACGGGACGAACACCGAUAUGCUUCGGGGAGCUGUAAGUAAGCUUUGAUCCGGAGAUUUCCGAAUGGGGGAACCCCAUCAUCUUGAUCGAUGAUGACUUUCAAGUGAAUACAUAGCUUGUUAGAGGUAGACGCAGGGAACUGAAACAUCUCAGUACCUGUAGGAAGAGAAAGAAAAAUCGAUUUCCUGAGUAGCGGCGAGCGAAACGGAAAGAGCCCAAACCAAAGAGCUUGCUCUUUGGGGUUGUAGGACUGGGACCUAUGAUUUAGGCAGGUUAGUCGAAUGGCAUGGGAAGGCCAAUCAGAGAAGGUGAGAAUCCUGUAGACGAAAACCUAACUAACAUUACCAGUAUCCUGAGUACGACGGACCACGUGAAAUUCCGUCGGAAUCCGCCGGGACCAUCCGGCAAGGCUAAAUACUCCCUAGUGACCGAUAGUGAACCAGUACCGUGAGGGAAAGGU
Molecule: ribosomal RNA, 515 nt
Filed under: Aerococcus sanguinicola
Lineage: Bacteria; Bacillati; Bacillota; Bacilli; Lactobacillales; Aerococcaceae
Description: partial 23S ribosomal RNA
Rfam family: Bacterial large subunit ribosomal RNA
Source: RNAcentral